This is a long non-coding RNA of Mus musculus (house mouse), 542 nucleotides long. RefSeq annotates it as predicted gene 10706. The transcript is spliced from 4 exons. NCBI's taxonomy places the organism in Eukaryota, Metazoa, Chordata, Mammalia, Rodentia, Muridae. The record is from RefSeq and is a predicted model, not a curated record.
UCGCCCACCUCCUCCAGUGACAUCAUUUUUAGUUUUAAUCGUUCAACUGAGAUACAGUCACCAGAGGUCUGGUGAGGAGCCAACAGAUUUCCCAUUACCAGCUUAGCUACAGCUACAAGUAGCUGGCUUUCCCACCUCUGUACCAGGAACAGCCCGAGGACAAGACCAUCCCUCUGUGGCCUGAGCUUUGGUUGAUGGCAAUGUGAGCGUGUCCAGAAACAGAUCUGCACUGCCUGGGAAUAAGAUGAUCUCUAAGAAUUUUUUUAAUUGCCGUGGAUGAAGAGGGACGAGCAACAGGCAGCCCGGCCACCUCACUUCUUCCCAAGGUGGCAUCUGAUUCCAAGAUGCUUUACAGGCGCGAACCCGAACAUGUGGGCCGCUCAACACCAGUGAACCUGUUCACAUCACUCCAUUUCCUCCAGAGCUGCCAAGACUGUAUCAGCCAGAAGCCCAGAGGAUGCUGGGACUUUUCUAUGCUACAGCUGUCCUCACACCGAUCCUUGCAAUUACUAAGUUGCUUCUGAUGUCUGCCACGGGUGAGG